GGCUCAGGAUGAACGCUGGCGGCGUGCUUAACACAUGCAAGUCGAACGGUGAAGCAGAGCUUGCUCUGUGGAUCAGUGGCGAACGGGUGAGUAACACGUGAGCAACCUGCCCCUGACUCUGGGAUAAGCGCUGGAAACGGCGUCUAAUACCGGAUAUGAGCUGCGAUCGCAUGGUCAGCAGUUGGAAAGAUUUUUCGGUCUGGGAUGGGCUCACGGCCUAUCAGCUUGUUGGUGAGGUAAUGGCUCACCAAGGCGUCGACGGGUAGCCGGCCUGAGAGGGUGACCGGCCACACUGGGACUGAGACACGGCCCAGACUCCUACGGGAGGCAGCAGUGGGGAAUAUUGCACAAUGGGCGAAAGCCUGAUGCAGCAACGCCGCGUGAGGGAUGACGGCCUUCGGGUUGUAAACCUCUUUUAGCAGGGAAGAAGCGAAAGUGACGGUACCUGCAGAAAAAGCGCCGGCUAACUACGUGCCAGCAGCCGCGGUAAUACGUAGGGCGCAAGCGUUAUCCGGAAUUAUUGGGCGUAAAGAGCUCGUAGGCGGUUUGUCGCGUCUGCUGUGAAAUCCCGAGGCUCAACCUCGGGUCUGCAGUGGGUACGGGCAGACUAGAGUGCGGUAGGGGAGAUUGGAAUUCCUGGUGUAGCGGUGGAAUGCGCAGAUAUCAGGAGGAACACCGAUGGCGAAGGCAGAUCUCUGGGCCGUUACUGACGCUGAGGAGCGAAAGGGUGGGGAGCAAACAGGCUUAGAUACCCUGGUAGUCCACCCCGUAAACGUUGGGAACUAGUUGUGGGGUCCAUUCCACGGAUUCCGUGACGCAGCUAACGCAUUAA
RNAcentral lists this ribosomal RNA (832 nucleotides) under Microbacterium sp. RKEM 922. RNAcentral's name for it is "bacterial SSU rRNA". It matches the Rfam family "Bacterial small subunit ribosomal RNA", at positions 21 to 863 of the family's 1533-position model. The record is from RNAcentral. Lineage: Bacteria; Bacillati; Actinomycetota; Actinomycetes; Micrococcales; Microbacteriaceae.